UGGGGAAUUUUGGACAAUGGGGGCAACCCUGAUCCAGCAAUGCCGCGUGAGUGAAGAAGGCCUUCGGGUUGUAAAGCUCUUUUGUCAGGGAAGAAACGGUAGUAGCGAAUAACUAUUACUAAUGACGGUACCUGAAGAAUAAGCACCGGCUAACUACGUGCCAGCAGCCGCGGUAAUACGUAGGGUGCAAGCGUUAAUCGGAAUUACUGGGCGUAAAGCGUGCGCAGGCGGUUGUGUAAGUCAGAUGUGAAAUCCCCGGGCUCAACCUGGGAAUUGCAUUUGAGACUGCACGGCUAGAGUGUGUCAGAGGGGGGUAGAAUUCCACGUGUAGCAGUGAAAUGCGUAGAUAUGUGGAGGAAUACCGAUGGCGAAGGCAGCCCCCUGGGAUAACACUGACGCUCAUGCACGAAAGCGUGGGGAGCAAACAGG
Molecule: ribosomal RNA, 429 nt
Filed under: Herbaspirillum sp.
Lineage: Bacteria; Pseudomonadati; Pseudomonadota; Betaproteobacteria; Burkholderiales; Oxalobacteraceae
Also listed under: 2 other names
Description: bacterial SSU rRNA
Rfam family: Bacterial small subunit ribosomal RNA
Source: RNAcentral